CGGAGGGUGCAAGCGUUGUCCGGAUUUAUUGGGUUUAAAGGGUGCGUAGGCGGCUUUUUAAGUCAGUGGUGAAAUCCUGCAGCUUAACUGUAGAAUUGCCAUUGAUACUGAGAAGCUUGAGUACAGACGAGGUAGGCGGAAUUUAUGGUGUAGCGGUGAAAUGCAUAGAUACCAUAAAGAACACCUAUUGCGAAGGCAGCUUACUAGGCUGUAACUGACGCUGAGGCACGAAAGUGUGGGGAUCAAACAGGAUUAGAUACCCUGGUAGUCCACACUGUAAACGAUGAUUACUCGAUGUUCGCGAUAUACAGUGAGCGUCCAAGCGAAAGCGUUAAGUAAUCCACCUGGGAAGUACGAUCGCAAGAUU
This 367-nucleotide ribosomal RNA is filed under the name uncultured organism. RNAcentral describes it as "bacterial SSU rRNA". It matches the Rfam family "Bacterial small subunit ribosomal RNA", at positions 526 to 895 of the family's 1533-position model. The record is from RNAcentral.